RNAcentral lists this transfer RNA (73 nucleotides) under Strongylocentrotus purpuratus (purple sea urchin). It matches the Rfam family "tRNA". Rfam says of the family: Transfer RNA (tRNA) molecules are approximately 80 nucleotides in length. Their secondary structure includes four short double-helical elements and three loops (D, anti-codon, and T loops). Lineage: Eukaryota; Metazoa; Echinodermata; Echinoidea; Camarodonta; Strongylocentrotidae. The record is from Rfam by way of RNAcentral.
GGCAUGGUGGCUCAGUGGUUAGAGCGCCUGCCUCAUGAACGGGAGGUCGUGGGUUCGAACCCCGGCCGAGUCA